CUGGAGGAGAUCACCCAGCUAGUCAUGCUAGAGCACUUUUUCAAUGUGCUACCCAACAACAACGCAUUUGUAUGUCAAUCCAUAUCAACUUUCAAUGACAUUUACUGCGCCUACCAUGGUGAGAACGGGUAACUGUGAAUCAGGGUUCGAUUCCGUACAGGGACCCUGACAAAUGGCUACCACAUGCAAGGAAGGCAGCAGGCGCGCAAAUUACCCACUCCCGACACGGGGAGGUAGUGACGACAAAUAACAAUACAGGACUCUUUAGAGGCCCUAUAAUUGUAAUGAGUCCACUUGAAAUCCUUUAUCUCUGAUCAACUGGAGGGCAAGUCUGCCAUAAUGCUCCGC
This is a non-coding RNA of Pelobates cultripes (western spadefoot toad), 348 nucleotides long. The record is from the annotation of a GenBank genome assembly. Lineage: Eukaryota; Metazoa; Chordata; Amphibia; Anura; Pelobatidae.